Molecule: ribosomal RNA, 491 nt
Filed under: uncultured bacterium
Lineage: Bacteria
Description: partial 16S ribosomal RNA
Rfam family: Bacterial small subunit ribosomal RNA
Source: RNAcentral
GUGAACGCUGGCGGUAGGCCUAACACAUGCAAGUCGAACGGCAGCACAGUAAGAGCUUGCUCUUACGGGUGGCGAGUGGCGGACGGGUGAGGAAUACAUCGGAAUCUACUUUUUCGUGGGGGAUAACGUAGGGAAACUUACGCUAAUACCGCAUACGACCUACGGGUGAAAGCAGGGGAUCUUCGGACCUUGCGCGAUUGAAUGAGCCGAUGUCGGAUUAGCUAGUUGGCGGGGUAAAGGCCCACCAAGGCGACGAUCCGUAGCUGGUCUGAGAGGAUGAUCAGCCACACCGGAACUGAGACACGGUCCAGACUCCUACGGGAGGCAGCAGUGGGGAAUAUUGGACAAUGGGCGCAAGCCUGAUCCAGCCAUACCGCGUGGGUGAAGAAGGCCUUCGGGUUGUAAAGCCCUUUUGUUGGGAAAGAAAAGCAGCAGGUUAAUACCCCGCUGUUCUGACGGUACCCAAAGAAUAAGCACCGGCUAACUUCGUG